UAGGGAAGUCUUCCACAAUGGACGCAAGUCUGAUGGAGCAACGCCGCGUGAGUGAAGAAGGUCUUCGGAUCGUAAACUCUGUUGUUAGAGAAGAACACGAGUGAGAGUAGCUGUUCAUUCGAUGACGGUAUCUAACCAGCAAGUCACGGCUAACUACGAGCCAG
RNAcentral lists this ribosomal RNA (164 nucleotides) under uncultured bacterium. Its description in RNAcentral is "partial 16S rRNA". It matches the Rfam family "Bacterial small subunit ribosomal RNA", at positions 355 to 511 of the family's 1533-position model. The record is from RNAcentral.